AGAAACAAAAUUUUCAAAUAAUAUUAUAGAGAUUUUCUUUUUAUGAAAUCACAUUAUAUAAAAAUAUUAUUAAAUUCCAGUUAUAAAAAUUGUAAAAUUUUCCUUUUUAUUAUAUACAUUUUUUUAUAACAUGUUAUCUUUAUUAUUUUCAAAAGAGGAUUAAGAGAGUACAUAAAUCCAAACAUACAACAAAUACAUUUUUAAGUAAAACAUGAU
RNAcentral lists this long non-coding RNA (216 nucleotides) under Brassica napus (rape). Its description in RNAcentral is "long non-coding RNA (BNAP_LNC012023)". Lineage: Eukaryota; Viridiplantae; Streptophyta; Magnoliopsida; Brassicales; Brassicaceae. The record is from RNAcentral.